This 516-nucleotide ribosomal RNA is filed under the name Munida intermedia. RNAcentral describes it as "partial large subunit ribosomal RNA". It matches the Rfam family "Bacterial large subunit ribosomal RNA", at positions 1829 to 2597 of the family's 2925-position model. Lineage: Eukaryota; Metazoa; Arthropoda; Malacostraca; Decapoda; Munididae. The record is from RNAcentral.
GUCUGUAUGAAGAUAUAUAGAGUCUAACCUGCCCCUUGAAAAAUUUUGAAAGGCCGCGGUAUAUUAACUGUGCAAAGGUAGCAUAAUCAUUAGUUUUUUAAUUGAAGGCUUGUAUGAAGGGUUGGACAAAGAAAAAUCUGUCUUCUAUUUUUAUUUUUGAAUUUUACUUUUAAGUGAAAAGGCUUAAUUAAUUUAAAGGGACGAUAAGACCCUAUAAAUCUUUAUAUUAAUUUAUUUUUAAAUAACUAAUUUUGUAAAAUGAUUUAUAAAAAUAAAAAAUAUUUUGUUGGGGCGAUGAGAAUAUAAAUAUAACUGUUUUAAAAUGUAAACAAAGUUAUUUGUUAAAAUUUAAAGAUCCUUUAUAAAGAUUAGAAGUUUAAGUUACUUUAGGGAUAACAGCGUUAUUUUUUUUGAGAGUUCUUAUCGAAAAGAAAGUUUGCGACCUCGAUGUUGAAUUAAAAUAUCUUUAUGGUGUAGCUGCUAUAGUAAGAGAGUCUGUUCGACUUUUAAAUUUUU